Molecule: ribosomal RNA, 402 nt
Filed under: uncultured Rhodoplanes sp.
Lineage: Bacteria; Pseudomonadati; Pseudomonadota; Alphaproteobacteria; Hyphomicrobiales; Nitrobacteraceae
Also listed under: 2 other names
Description: bacterial SSU rRNA
Rfam family: Bacterial small subunit ribosomal RNA
Source: RNAcentral
UGGGGAAUAUUGGACAAUGGGCGCAAGCCUGAUCCAGCCAUGCCGCGUGGAUGAUGAAGGCCUUAGGGUUGUAAAGUCCUUUUAGCGGGGAAGAUAAUGACGGUACCCGCAGAAAAAGCCCCGGCUAACUUCGUGCCAGCAGCCGCGGUAAUACGAAGGGGGCUAGCGUUGCUCGGAAUUACUGGGCGUAAAGCGCACGUAGGCGGCUUGUUAAGUCGGAGGUGAAAUCCUGGAGCUCAACUCCAGAACUGCCUUCGAUACUGGCGAGCUUGAGUUCGGGAGAGGUGAGUGGAACUGCGAGUGUAGAGGUGAAAUUCGUAGAUAUUCGCAAGAACACCAGUGGCGAAGGCGGCUCACUGGCCCGAUACUGACGCUGAGGUGCGAAAGCGUGGGGAGCAAACA